CCCCGUUUGAGCUCCACGUUCCAUUAGCAAGAAGCUUCUGAGACUCCAAGCCAAGGGAUUGUCUGGGGAGGUGCCCUGCUCUUGGUAGAAGUCCCUUGACAAGUAUUCUAACUGUCCCUUACACUGGACAGAAGCCACCAGAGCCUCAAUUGUGACACGGGUGGCGCUUUCUGCUACCCGGCCAGAGCCGGGACCCUGGGUCACGGAGCACUGGCUCCCACGUAUCCAUUGGCUGGCCGGGAGCUCAGGGUUCCCUGUCACCUGGGGGUUGGUGCCCAGCCGCCCUGAUGCCAGCUGCUGCUCACUAACAUUCACCCCCUCAGUAGCAUCUCCUUGCCUAGGUCAGGCUUAGCCACUUCUUAGGUCUCUCCUGCCAGGUUUCCUUUUCUGGUUUACAGCAACAUAGGAAAAAGCCCUGGAGAUGUCCGGGCUGAGCUCAGCAUUCUCAAUGGGCAGGUAGAACCGGGCCAUUGCCCUGGCUCACUGUCGAUGUGACCUCCCCACCCCCCAUGUGCUCUGGGUCACUAUGGAUGGACCUACAGGAGCCGCCCCUGAUGAGUUUUCCCUGGGAAGGAAGGGGCAUGACCUGGUUCUGGCUUUAAUCUGCUGUGUGGCCUUCAGCAAGCCACUCAGCUUCUCUGGGCUCCCAGCGGUUCCCUUUGGCUUUGCUUACUCUAGAAACCACCCCAGUUUGGUGGGCCUCUGUCCUCAACAACGGAUGAGCUCAUGUGGUAACUUACCAGGAACAUGCUAGGCCAGCCUGUCUGUCAUGCUGUCCCCUCACAGGUCACAUCUGAGCCUUAGCACCUCCCUCCAAGGGACCUGAGCAGGGGACGGGGAGGGGGUUGUCAAAUGCGUGCUUCAGUGUACGUGUUCAUGCCUCAGACAGCGGGUGACGCAUGACUGAUGGGGGUGUUCUCUAACGUGGUGUGAGGAGAACGAGGACUGGGGUGCUCUUGUGAACUGUGCAGAUGCUAUCUGUGGGAGGCCCUGGCCUCGCUGCCGGCAUCAUGUAUGGCAUCACGUACCGUGUUUUACAAACACACUCAGCAGCUGUCCCCAUGCAAUGGUACUUAGAGCCCCACACAGCCCAAAGAGCUUGUCCUUGCCUCCCAUACCUGUGAGCAGAGGGGACAGGCCAAGAAGGUGGGUGGCGUCUCUGCUCCCCAACCUUGGGUUGUUCCCAGCGCCUCUGCUGCCCACCCCCUUGGGUCCCAUACUCUCAGGGGAAAGGCCCACGGCCCUUGGUGUGCCCAGGGAGUGCUAUGCAGGGGCCGGAGGGAACCAGCCUACUGCUCUGGCCGCUGGCGUCACUGGGAAACUCUAGAAGGAGCUGCUGUAUGGUCAAGUGAUAAAACUUGGAACUCCAACUGCUGGCCCCAGUACUGGGUAAUCUCUAAGUGGGCUGCUGGGCAGGCAAGACCCUUCCUGGUUCUUUUGAGAACCCAGAAUGUUGAGGUAUGUGGGCCCACACAAGGUGGGAGCCAAGUCAGAGAGUCCCAGUCAAAUCUGUAUCAGGACAGUUUAGCCACCUCUGAAAUAAGCAAUAAGUAAGAGUUCCUGGAGUCUGAAGACCAGUCAAGAAAGAGCCUAGAAACAACCUUUCCCUUUUGGAGAGGUGUGACCCUGUCCCUAAUGCUGCAGAGGCAUCCUGGGAACCUAAAGAGAAUUUCUUGUAGACCCUCUGCCCUUGUGCAGGGUGGAACAAGAUAUACCCCAGCCCUUUGCAGUGGGCUGCCCUCUAGGACAGUCUGCAUCAUAUCUCGAGCCUAUCAGGAGAGGCCAGCAGCACCCAGCGGAGCCCUGGGCUGGGGACCACAGGUGACCUUCGUGACCCCUCCCUUCCGGAGCCUUAGCUUUGCAGUGCCGACUCUCCAUCUCACAGGAUGCUUGGACUGGCUCCACCCCCCACUGUGACAGGUCACCUGGCCCCAUCUAGGUGGCCUGGCCUUCCCUGGAGUCAGAAUCUGCUGAGCACAUCUUCAUCUGCAUUCAACAGCCACUCGCCAGUGUUUAAAGACAAAGUGACCUUUCAUUUUUCUUUCUUGAAACUUGAGAGGAAGUGAGAUACACACUACUGAUUUUUUUUUUUUUUUAAAGAAACAAACUAGACGCAUGGCUGCAGAGUGGCAGAGGUGUCUAUUUUCAUACUGUGGGGGAAAGUGCUGCUUUUGGGAGGGGCUGGAACGCCUGGUUUCUGCCCCGGGCCAGUCUUGUACAGGAGUUGGUGGUGAGCCCUGCAGCUGCCCUCUCCUGCCCUGGCUGUGUAGAGCUGGAGCCUGUGCCCUUCGGCGGUUUCUACCUUCUAUCGAGCCACUUCGAUUUGUGGAGAGAGAGAAAAAAAUAGAACUUUUGAUAGUGUGGUAAAAGCAUUGAUUUGAACUAUUUUAGUAAAAGGAGUAACAUAUAAGACUGUGACAGUGUCUACUUUGAACUAGAUAAUAAAGGCCUCUUUGUGAGCCUCGGAGCUCG
RNAcentral lists this long non-coding RNA (2472 nucleotides) under Rattus norvegicus (Norway rat). Its description in RNAcentral is "long non-coding RNA NONRATT025332". The record is from RNAcentral. Lineage: Eukaryota; Metazoa; Chordata; Mammalia; Rodentia; Muridae.